GUGGCGAACGGGUGAGUAAUACGUAAGCAACCUGCCCCACAGCGGGGGAUAACAGUGGGAAACUACUGCUAAUACCCCAUAGGAGUAGAAGGGCAUCCUUCUUCCUUUAAAGAUGCGUCUGCAUCACUGUGGGAUGGGCUUACGCUGUAUUAGUUAGUUGGUGAGGUAACGGCUCACCAAGACGAUGAUACAUAGCCGGCCUGAGAGGGUGGACGGCCACAUUGGGACUGAGACACGGCCCAAACUCCUACGGGAGGCAGCAGU
Molecule: non-coding RNA, 264 nt
Filed under: Opisthocomus hoazin
Lineage: Eukaryota; Metazoa; Chordata; Aves; Opisthocomiformes; Opisthocomidae
Description: Bacterial small subunit ribosomal RNA
Rfam family: Bacterial small subunit ribosomal RNA
Source: Rfam by way of RNAcentral